UGCAGAUCCUUGAAAGGCAAAGUGGCAGGGAUACAAGGCUGUUCACAACAACCCUGCCCCAGGUCCCCCCAGUCCCAAAUAGCCUGGGGGAACAAAUUAGCACUACAGAGGCUGCCCUCCUGGGAAGACAGACUUCCUUUACCAGUCCCUUUUCCCCAUCACAACCCAGGGUAAGGGAACAUACACACACACACAGACAUGCUGCGCACACAGAGAGGAUAGAAACCCAGUGAAAGCGGCAGGGACCCAGCAGGGACCCACCAGGGAUCUGACUGGAGCAGAGCUAAGUGAGCAAGACUGAUCAGUUGGUUCACAGUAAGCUCUUUCCCAUUGUUUGCAAACAAUGGAAAAAGCUGUUACCGGGAAAUCCUGCACAGUGACCACAGUCACACUUUGGGAGGAAGGGAGAAGAAUCCCUAAACCAAAUUCAGAGACUACAUCAGAUUCUGCUAGCUAGAAAGGGGGGGUUCUUGAGACAGGGUGAGUUCAAGAUUUGAGCACAAAGGAAAAGACAGACUGGAGGCAGAGAUCUGGUGAUAAACUAAUCAGAAAAUAUCUGAAGCAAGAAUAUGGAGUUUAACCCAGCACAAAGAAGUCAUCUCAUUGAGAGUAUCUAGACAAAGGAACAUGGCAAGAUAACACUCGUCUGAAGCCAGUGAUGAUUCUGGCUACCGCCGUUAAGAUGUUUAAUUCAAAGAUUAUAUGUAUAUGCCAGAGUAGCAAAGUUACUUUGAAAUGGCCGGAGGCAAAAAGCAGAAGGCAGGGUGCAGAGUGAGCCCAGAGAAACAGAUGGAAGACAGGCCACAUGAAGACCUAUGCUGGAAAGAUCCAACUCAUGCUAAGGAGACCUACCUUCUGAUUGCCCUGGUGGGUCAUUAGCAGAGAAAUGAAUUCACAUGAAGCAAUUCUAUAAAGGAGAGCAGUGGAGGUGAAAAUAUCACAGAAAAGGAGAGCAAUUUGACUAGUAAACUCAUCGAGUUGAGACAAAUGUGAAAACUCAUUACAACCUGAAUUUCUCACCCAGCUCAGUUUCUCCUCUCUUUUAAACUUUCUAAUAGAAAAAGUUGAGUUCCCAUUAUUGCCACCUCCACUGUUUGCCCUCACUUCCAUCAAAAAAUAAAUAAAUUAGAGAUACCUCUUUUCCCCCAU
RNAcentral lists this long non-coding RNA (1149 nucleotides) under Fukomys damarensis (Damara mole-rat). RNAcentral's name for it is "lncRNA (ENSFDAG00000030854.1)". The record is from RNAcentral. Lineage: Eukaryota; Metazoa; Chordata; Mammalia; Rodentia; Bathyergidae.